UGCAGUCGAACGACGCAUAUUGGAGGGGUAACCCAUCGAUAUGACGGAGUGGCGAACGGGUGAGUAACACGUGAGCAAUCUGCCCCACAGACCGGGACAGCCCAGGGAAACUUGGAUUAAUACCGGAUGACCUCCUAGGACCGCAUGGUCUCUUGAGGAAAUAUUUUUGUGCUGUGGGAUGAGCUCGCGACUUAUCAGCUAGUUGGUGGGGUAACGGCCUACCAAGGCAUUGACGAGUAGCUGGUCUGAGAGGACGAUCAGCCACACUGGGACUGAGACACGGCCCAGACUCCUACGGGAGGCAGCAGCAGGGAAUCUUGCGCAAUGGACGAAAGUCUGACGCAGCGACACCGCGUGGGGGAUGAAGGCCUUCGGGUUGUAAACCCCUUUCAGGAGGGAAGAAAUUGACGGUACCUCCAAAAGAAGCACCGGCCAACUACGUGCCAGCAGCCGCGGUAAUACGUAGGGUGCGAGCGUUAUCCGGAAUCAUUGGGCGUAAAGAGCUCGUAGGCGGUUCAGCAAGUCGGCUGUGAAAGUUCGAGGCUCAACCUCGAAAUUGCAGUCGAAACUGCUGUGACUCGAGUCCGGUAGAGGAGAAUGGAAUUCUCGGUGUAGCGGUGAAAUGCGCAGAUAUCGAGAGGAACACCGGCGGCGAAGGCGGCUUUCUGGAUCGCAACUGA
Molecule: ribosomal RNA, 680 nt
Filed under: uncultured bacterium
Lineage: Bacteria
Description: bacterial SSU rRNA
Rfam family: Bacterial small subunit ribosomal RNA
Source: RNAcentral